This is a long non-coding RNA of Xiphophorus hellerii (green swordtail), 2726 nucleotides long. RefSeq lists it as uncharacterized. The record is from RefSeq and is a predicted model, not a curated record. Lineage: Eukaryota; Metazoa; Chordata; Actinopteri; Cyprinodontiformes; Poeciliidae. The transcript has 2 exons.
GUGAACCCCCAGCCCAGUCAUUUAAUGAGCCCCAGCUCCACCGGCCCGGUCUGGUUUCUCACCACUCAGGUGACUGUCGGCAACUAUAAAGUUAUAGGGCCCGGGUCCAGCUCCGCAGGCAGCACGCUAAUUCAUCACUUCAGACUUACUGCCGUGUGACUCACACCUACUAAAGGCUUUCCGGAUCCAGAUUUCCUGCUGAGGAGGAAAGAUGAAUCUGGCCAACAAACAAAGAAGACAGGAAGAAAGGAGCUUUUCUGCAGGUAUCUGCUGCAGAUGCAUGUAGUUAAUUAAUUAAAAACGAGAGGAAACAGAGCUGGGGUGUAGCUUGAGAAGAAGCAGGACUGUGGAAAGAUGGUCAGUGUCACGAAGCUCUCAUUAACCUCUGGUACCGGAGAUGGGGGCGAUGCAGAACACGGCCUCUAGAGAGCAGUACAAGACAAGCGUUUUCCCUACUAAUUGGUCACAGAGUGAGCAUAUCCUUGGGAGAUAUGUAAAAUUAAGCAAUUUAUUGGGUCGUUAAUUUAGGAAAACAGAGUUAUGACAGUCUGUCUGGCUCCCAGAGCCGGUCUGGGAUUAAACAGGACCGGAGGGAGGAUCUGACAUGAUGGCCACCACCACCACCACCACAGCGGCGGCCCAUUUCAUCUUUUAUAUUGACCAUUGUUUGAUGGUGUUGUCGUCUACGUUCACUAAUGAAUUAAUUCCUUAAAGGAAUGUUCAGAGGGGUUUAUUUUAAAAAUAGUAGUAUAACUCUUGGAUUUUUUAUUUUGUAUGAAUAGGGCUUUUUUUUUUCCAAGUCUGAAGCUAAUCUGACCUGGGCCAUCAGCAACGGUAAUAAUUUUACUGAUUAAAAGUAAAAAGUUUCAUAAACAAAUUUGUAUUAUUCUUGAACUGCAUUUGGGGGUAUAAAAAAAAAAUCAGUUCAAGAUCCACAAAUUGCCCCUGGGCAAUUUGGACACCACAGCACUAGGUGGUGCUACAGCAUCUGCUUGCUUUCCUAUUGACAAACAGGGCAUUUCUGAUUUUUAAUUUUUUUAAAAAAAUUUACAGUGUAGUGUGUGGCCUGUAAUAAAUCUCACACUUCUAAUGCAGCCCAUGUUUCGAACUGGUCCACAAGGUACCCUUUUAUUGUUUAACAUACUUUAUCAUUUUUCCUCCAAAAUGUCUGGGCACGCCACUGAAGAACGACCACUUACUUAUCUUAAAAACUUGGUGGUUUAUGGCUUAGUGUUUUGUGAAGCACUAAGCUGAUAUAAGAUAUAACUAGAACAUUUUUCGUCCUGUCCUCUGAAACCUCGAUUGCCCUCGGCGCCUCCAGGCCAGCAGGGGGCCUUCAGUGGCCGCUUAUUGUACUUCUGCCUUGGGCCGGCUCUCCUACAAUACUCUGCCUCCUGCUUUUGAACACCUUUAGAUAUAUUUGUCACACAUCCGCAUGAACAUAGGUAGAUAGAUUAUUCAAGAUGUGUGUGUUUUGGAUGCAUUUUGUGUCAGAGUAUGUCUGACCACUAGCAGUCGUGCUAACUCCCCCACCCCCCACCCCACGCCCUCCACCCCUUCCCAAACUCCCCUCACAAAGCAACAAUGGACGCCGGCAGUGAACAGCCAUAGUGCUAUUAUAGCCCUAAUCCUGCUCCAUUAUACAGACCAGAGAGAGAACGAGAGACACACACACAGAGGGGGAGGCAGAGCCGAAGAUGAGGUCAUCCCAAACAGCACACACCCAGGGUCAACGCUUCACUAUAGAAGCACAGAGAUAAAGGGAGGGAUGGAUGGGCAUGUGGCUGCCAAAAAAAAAAAAAAAAAAAAGGCCUACCAGGGACAGAAUGUGGGAGAUACACGGAUAUGAGAACGUGAGGGGAGAGGAGGUUAACACCUCGCUGCAAGGUGUGCAAUAAAACAUGGACACAAUGCAAGGUUGUUGUUGUUGUUGUUGUUUUUUUUUAAAACAACUUUGUUUAUUUCAUACGGGUAUGAAACCACACUACAAUGGGAGCGGGAAACCACGGCGAUGGCCCCCGCUUCUGUAAUAAUGUUAAUUCUAGUCACGACAGAGUAAAAUGAUAAACUGUAGGAAAGUAAAAAUACACACUAAUGGAAUGGAAACCAGUGAAAUAAUUAGAAGUACAUAAAUAAACAUUAAAUACUGAAUAAAUAAGUGAAUAAAUAAAAGAACAAUUGAUUUCUUUUCUUUUGCAACUACACUCACACAAAAUAAAUAGCCUCUAAUGAAUGAAAUCUGGCGUUGUAUCACCAGCUCAGAAAAUAUCUCAAGAACAGUUUGUGUUUCCGUCUUUGUUUUCAUCCCUGAACUGUUAAUUAGUCCCACAGUGUCUGGAGUCCACAGUGACCAGCUCUGUGGUGUCACAUUAUGCUUUGGAUAAGGAAACCUGCAAAGGUCUUCCCCAAAAAACAUCUUCCUAUUUACACCAAGCUUUCUGUGUCUUUAUUCUGCGAUGGAUUGCUUCGAAAUACGUUUCCAGAACCCCACAUCUCUGCAUUAGCAGAAAAAAAAACAACAACAAAAAAAACUUGAUUGUUUGUAGCAAACAGCAAGUGUGUACUUUGUUCUUGGCUGAAGGCCACUAAUUAAUAUGUUCAGCUAGUAAGAAAAGGAGACUCCUUUUGCUAAAACACAAGAGCAAUGUCACUAUCACUGAUGGAUUCCUCUGAAAGGUAUCCUUGUACAUUCUUUAAUCUAUGAUUAUUCUUUUUUUUAAUUAUUA